RNAcentral lists this ribosomal RNA (305 nucleotides) under uncultured bacterium. RNAcentral's name for it is "partial 16S ribosomal RNA". It matches the Rfam family "Bacterial small subunit ribosomal RNA", at positions 508 to 807 of the family's 1533-position model. The record is from RNAcentral.
ACAGCAGCCGCCGCGGGAAUACGGAGGGAGCUAGCGUUAUUCGGAAUUACUGGGCGUAAAGCGCACGUAGGCGGCUUUGUAAGUAAGAGGUGAAAGCCCAGAGCUCAACUCUGGAAUUGCCUUUUAGACUGCAUCGCUUGAAUCAUGGAGAGGUCAGUGGAAUUCCGAGUGUAGAGGUGAAAUUCGUAGAUAUUCGGAAGAACACCAGUGGCGAAGGCGGCUGACUGGACAUGUAUUGACGCUGAGGUGCGAAAGCGUGGGGAGCAAACAGGAUUAGAUACCCGCGUAGUCCCUGUCUCUUAUAC